This is a long non-coding RNA of Mustela lutreola (European mink), 279 nucleotides long. RefSeq lists it as uncharacterized. NCBI's taxonomy places the organism in Eukaryota, Metazoa, Chordata, Mammalia, Carnivora, Mustelidae. The record is from RefSeq and is a predicted model, not a curated record. The transcript has 3 exons.
AUCUGCCUGGUGCAAGUGCUAAAGGAAAUGCAGAUGGAAGCUCACAGAUGGAAGCCUGCUAAUCAUACAGCUGUUUUUUUGUUGGGACUUCUACUGGAGAACAUUCUUAACUCCUUGAACUGCUUAAACGGUCUCUGAAUACUCUGACCAGAAGUCACCCUGCUAGCUGUGAACCCAGCUUGCCUGAAAGAGGUAGCAUGUUCCUGUGAGGUCGUUCCAGAUACCUCACCGAGAAUUCCAUGUAUGGAAGGAAGACAGAUAAAGGUAGCUCGAUUUGGU